RNAcentral lists this ribosomal RNA (445 nucleotides) under Eludocoris grandis. RNAcentral describes it as "partial large subunit ribosomal RNA". It matches the Rfam family "Bacterial large subunit ribosomal RNA", at positions 1809 to 2517 of the family's 2925-position model. The record is from RNAcentral. Lineage: Eukaryota; Metazoa; Arthropoda; Insecta; Hemiptera; Pentatomidae.
AAAAACAUGUCUUAAUGUAUAUAUAUAUUAAGUCUAGCCUGCUCAAUGAUUUUUAAUUAAAUGGCCGCAGUACUUUGACUGUGCGAAGGUAGCAUAAUCAUUUGUCUCUUAAUUGGAGGCUUGUAUGAAUGGCUGGAUGAGGGGGUUUCUUUCUUUAUAUUAAUAGUUAGAAUUUAAUUUUUUAGUUAAAAAGCUUAAAUUUUUAAAUGGGACGAGAAGACCCUAUAGAAUUUUAUUAUUAUGAUUAUAUUAAAUUUUUGGAUUGCUUAUAUAUUUUAUUAUAGUUUAUAUAAUUUUGUUGGGGUGACGAGGGGGAUUUUUUUAACUCUCUUAUUUUUUGUUUAUAGAUUAAUAAUUUACUGAUCCUUUAUUAUGGAUAAUUAGAUUAAAUUACCUUAGGGAUAACAGCGUAAUUCUUCUGGAGAGUUCUUAUCGAUGGAAGAGU